This 161-nucleotide non-coding RNA is filed under the name bovine gut metagenome. RNAcentral describes it as "Lysine riboswitch". It matches the Rfam family "Lysine riboswitch aptamer". From Rfam's summary of the family: Riboswitches are metabolite binding domains within certain messenger RNAs that serve as precision sensors for their corresponding targets. The record is from RNAcentral.
UCGAUAGAGGCGCGUGUUAUCAAGAGUAGCGGUGCAAAAAACGGUCUGCCGAAGACCGCACCGUGAAAGGGGUAUACGCCGAAGAGGUGGGUUGGCUUCCAUGCUCUGGUACACGGAAAUAAGAUUCCGGAUACUGUCGCAGAAAUGCGGAGUGCUAUCAA